GUACAAUGUAGGAGUCAAUGCCAUGGUCCUAUCGUGGCAACAAAUGAGAGUGCAAGUAUGACCGAACAAGGAAGUGGGGUUGAUCAUACCCAGUCGAAGCCAAGGGUCAUUUCCAAUGUUGAUGACGAUGACGGUGUCGUAUUUGAAGACGAUGCUGAUGAGAACGAGGGAUACCUAUUCGCUGGGCAAUAUGAGGAUACCGAUGAGGAUAUAGAGGUCGAUGGUAGUCAAGAUGAAUCGACUGCCACUGAUGUUCCUGACCCAUACGACAAGGUGUACAGCAACAUCCCUGAAGAAACACAUAUGC
This 307-nucleotide unclassified non-coding RNA is filed under the name Zea mays. RNAcentral describes it as "misc RNA Zm00001eb133670". Lineage: Eukaryota; Viridiplantae; Streptophyta; Magnoliopsida; Poales; Poaceae. The record is from RNAcentral.